RNAcentral lists this ribosomal RNA (448 nucleotides) under uncultured bacterium. RNAcentral's name for it is "bacterial SSU rRNA". It matches the Rfam family "Bacterial small subunit ribosomal RNA", at positions 29 to 519 of the family's 1533-position model. The record is from RNAcentral.
AACGAACGCUGGCGGCAGGCUUAACACAUGCAAGUCGAACGGGCACCUUCGGGUGUCAGUGGCAGACGGGUGAGUAACGCGUGGGAACGUACCCUUCGGUUCGGAAUAACCCAGGGAAACUUGGGCUAACACCGGAUACGUCCGCAAGGAGAAAGAUUUAUCGCCGAAGGAUCGGCCCGCGUCGGAUUAGCUAGUUGGUGGGGUAAUGGCCCACCAAGGCGACGAUCCGUAGCUGGUCUGAGAGGAUGANCAGCCACACUGGGACUGAGACACGGCCCAGACUCCUACGGGGAGGCAGCAGUGGGGAAUAUUGGACAAUGGGCGAAAGCCUGAUCCAGCCAUGCCGCGUGAGUGAAGAAGGCCUUAGGGUUGUAAGGCUCUUUCAGCGGGGAAGAUAAUGACGGUACCCGCAGAAGAAGUCCCGGCUAACUUCGUGCCAGCCGCCGCA